RNAcentral lists this ribosomal RNA (406 nucleotides) under uncultured bacterium. Its description in RNAcentral is "partial 16S ribosomal RNA". It matches the Rfam family "Bacterial small subunit ribosomal RNA", at positions 30 to 526 of the family's 1533-position model. The record is from RNAcentral.
AUUGAACGCUGGCGGCAUGCUUUACACAUGCAAGUCGGACGAGUGGCGAACGGGUGAGUAACGCAUCGGAACGUACCGAGUAAUGGGGGAUAACUGUCCGAAAGGACAGCUAAUACCGCAUAUUAUUCGAGCGGCCGAUGUCUGAUUAGCUGGUUGGCGGGGUAAUGGCUCACCAAGGCUAUGACGCAUAACUGGUCUGAGAGGAUGAUCAGUCACACUGGAACUGAGACACGGUCCAGACUCCUACGGGAGGCAGCAGUGGGGAAUUUUGGACAAUGGGCGCAAGCCUGAUCCAGCCAUGCCGCGUGUCUGAAGAAGGCCUUCGGGUUGUAAAGGACUUUUGUCAGGGAAGCGGCACCUGAAGAAUAAGCACCGGCUAACUACGUGCCAGCCGCCGCGGUAAUAC